CGCGCUUUGGUAUUGAUAAAAAUAAAUAAAUAUAUAAACCUCGUGAAAAUCGGUUGAGAAAUGAGCAAGUUAACUUAAUUUCAAUAUCCAACCAUUGCCUUUGAAUGGAACAUCGACCUUCCCAACAUGGCGGCCACGAGGACGUCGGUUAGCGGGGCGCUACAGCUCGCUGGCGUAUAGUCUUCAAAUGGUCAGAACCGCUACACACAUUUCCAGCUGUGUUAACCCUAUCACCAGCUGGUCAACGAUUGGUCAACAGAGAUGCUAAGGAGAGGGGCCAUUGUAUCUAGUGUAAGACAAGCAGGACUAAUCAUUGUACGGGGCAAGUCUGGACCUGCCUAAGCUGUCAGAUCUCAGUUGAGUAACAUACAAAGUUGAGGACAUACAAACAAGGAAUUAGCUGUGUAGAUCCUCCUUCGGGCUGCUGUCAUCUUUCAUUUCUGACAGCCUUUGUGGCAUCGCUGGGGCAAGUUUGGACUUGCUCGAGCAUCCCUCCCAAGGU
Phyllopteryx taeniolatus (common seadragon) is the source of this 502-nucleotide long non-coding RNA. RefSeq lists it as uncharacterized. NCBI's taxonomy places the organism in Eukaryota, Metazoa, Chordata, Actinopteri, Syngnathiformes, Syngnathidae. The record is from RefSeq and is a predicted model, not a curated record. The transcript is spliced from 3 exons.